RNAcentral lists this transfer RNA (74 nucleotides) under Cordylochernes scorpioides. Its description in RNAcentral is "tRNA-Gly". The record is from RNAcentral. Lineage: Eukaryota; Metazoa; Arthropoda; Arachnida; Pseudoscorpiones; Chernetidae.
UGCAUCGGCCGGGAAUCGAACCCGGGCUGCCCGCCGCGUGGCAGGCGAGCAUUCUACCACUGAACCACCAAUGC